Hemibagrus wyckioides is the source of this 69-nucleotide small nucleolar RNA. RefSeq annotates it as small nucleolar RNA SNORD75. The record is from RefSeq and is a predicted model, not a curated record. The transcript has a single exon. Lineage: Eukaryota; Metazoa; Chordata; Actinopteri; Siluriformes; Bagridae.
UGCCUGUGAUGAGUAAAUUGAAUAAGAGUAGUGGACAGAAGUGAUUUCUGAGAACUUGAAUCUGAGGCA